CUUGUAGCGCUGUUUCCAACAUAUAUUCAUCAUAGCCUCUUUGAAGAAAUUUGUUCAAAGAGGCUAUGAUGAAUAUAUGUUGGAAACAGCGCUACAAGAAG
Molecule: non-coding RNA, 101 nt
Organism: Pelobates cultripes (western spadefoot toad)
Lineage: Eukaryota; Metazoa; Chordata; Amphibia; Anura; Pelobatidae
Source: the annotation of a GenBank genome assembly